GCGUGUGCGCGAGAGGGGUUUGCAAAAGGAAAUGACCGGAAGGAAGCACGCCUCUCCCGGAGCCCUCGCACACUUCACCCUCUGUAGGAACAUCUAGACUCUGAGCACUUACGUUUAAAACUUUCCGUUCCGACAUUUUAGCUUCCUGUCCAGCGAACAAGCGAAGAAGCGGUCCUCAGUCCACAGGGAGUUUCUCCGAUUCAGCGCCUCAGUGUCGCCACUUCCUUAGCCGGCUCACUGUUCACAAAGCCCCACACCGGCAGAAGAAAGAUCAUCCCACAGGGUUGGAAAUUGAGGUCUGAAGAAGUCAAGUGAAUUAUCCAGUGCUUCGGAGUAGCCCAGUACAUGGAAACCGCGCGCAGCUCACCUGGCGGAAGUGAGAGGCUCCUCGGCGCCGGUAGCGGAGUCGGUACUUGAGAGAGAAGAUGUCCGGGAAGGGCCAGGAAGCAGGGGGAUGCCAGAGCACCUGCAGGCGCUGUCCUGCUGUGCGCAGGCGCACGCCUUCCGGAGGGUCGGGCUUGACUGGUGGGAGCAGGACCUGGGUCAGCGUCUGCUCUGCCGGUUCAUCCCUCACACACUAAGUCUUCGUUUGUGACUCUCAUUCAUUCACAGAUUUGCUCAGUCCUUCCGUUCAUUCAUACUCACACUUCAUUCGUUCACGUAUUCACUAAAUUCUUCACUAAUUCAUUCCUCAGUUACUCACCAUUUGUUCCUGGAUUCAUUAACUCAUUCAUUUGCGCUUAUCAUUUAUACACUCAUUCGUUCAGGGAUCCAUUUCCCAGUCACUAGGUCAUUCACUGUAUCCUUUGUGAAUUCAUUCAUUCACUCCCUAAUUGAGUCACUCAUUCAUUCAUGCAGUCACUCAUGUCAUUCAUUCAUUUACUCAUGGCCUUCAUGUAUUCAUUUUUUUUUAAAAGAUUUAUUUAUUAUAUUCUCCAGCCCAUCAUGUAUUCAUUAGGCAUUCAUUAUGUCAGUUGUGCAUUUAUUCACUCAUUCACUAAGUCAUUCAUGCAUUCAUUCGUUCAUUCACUAAGUCAUUCGUGUGCAUGCACUCAUGUCAUCUAUGCCUUCAGUCACUCAUUAUGCAUUCAUUCAUUACUAAAUCAUUCACUCAUCCACUUGCUAUCAGUCAUGCAGGCGUUCAUUUAUUCCUUCAUUCGUCUAUCUACUCAAGGAAAAAGCAUUUGCGGAACCACCCUCAUCACUGCUGAUAGAAGUCACAAGGGUCACACAGGCAAAGAAAGGUUCCGAGUGCAAGUCUCCAGUAGGCUGAAGGGCUUUUCUGAGAUACAAUUCUGAGAGCACAAGUCUCUGCUAGAAGACAUCCCGUGCAUCUGCAGAGAGCGUUUUCAUUACUCCACCUACUUCUGGAACACUCCUUCAUGACAACACAAGCCAUCUUCCUACCCUUCUCUGUCCUCAGCACUCAGACUUCCUGUCUCUAGACUCCUCUGUACUGCAGCCCACACUGUGUGGGUUGAGUCUGGGUUGCUCACUGAGCGUAGUGUCCUCAAGGUCUUGCCACAGGGGAUGGUGCCAGAGCCUCACUCACUCUUCUUUAGGGCUGAGUAACGCUAGAUAAACACUGUGUGCCCAUCUCUCCAUGGGAACGCACAGGGCACUGGCCUUCUGGAUGCUGGCAAGGAGGUUGCCAAGGAUUGGUAGGGAGGAACAGCUUUAUUGCUGUUGAGCAGAUCCUUAGGUUUGGAGUUGGGAGAUCAUGUGGAGACUUCAGGUUUAAACCCUCGAGAGCUGUGUAGCCUUUCACUGACCUGCAUCAGCUUUUGUUCUUGGCUUUCUUUUCUGAGACAGGUGCUCAGGAGUGACCCUGGCUUGCCUUGAACUUGAUCUGUAGAUCAGGCUGGCCUUGAAUUCUCAGAGAUCUGCCUACCUCUGGGAUUAAAGACUUGUACACC
This 1916-nucleotide long non-coding RNA is filed under the name Mus caroli (Ryukyu mouse). RNAcentral describes it as "predicted gene, 16712 (MGP_CAROLIEiJ_G0005223.1)". Lineage: Eukaryota; Metazoa; Chordata; Mammalia; Rodentia; Muridae. The record is from RNAcentral.